CCUACGGGAGGCAGCAGUGAGGAAUAUUGGUCAAUGGGCUUACGCCUGAACCAGCCAAGUCGCGUGAGGGAAGACUGCCCUAUGGGUUGUAAACCUCUUUUGUCAGGGAGCAACGCCGGCUACGUGUAGCCGGACUGAGAGUACCUGAAGAAAAAGCAUUGGCUAACUCCGUGCCAGCAGCCGCGGUAAUACGGAGGAUGCGAGCGUUAUCCGGAUUUAUUGGGUUUAAAGGGUGCGUAGGCGGAAUGCCAAGUCAGCGGUAAAAUCGCGGGGCUCAACCUCGCUCCGCCGUUGAAACUGGCGGUCUUGAGUGGGCGAGAAGUAGGCGGAAUGCGUGGUGUAGCGGUGAAAUGCAUAGAUAUCACGCAGAACUCCGAUUGCGAAGGCAGCAUACCGGCGCCCAACUGACGCUGAAGCACGAAAGCGUGGGUAUCGAACAGGAUUAGAUACCCCAGUAGUC
This 460-nucleotide ribosomal RNA is filed under the name uncultured bacterium. RNAcentral describes it as "partial 16S ribosomal RNA". It matches the Rfam family "Bacterial small subunit ribosomal RNA", at positions 338 to 795 of the family's 1533-position model. The record is from RNAcentral.